UACCGGCAGCACGAGUGAUGGCCGAUCUUAUUGGGCCUAAAGCGUCCGUAGCUGGCCAGACAAGUCCGUUGGGAAAUCGACGUGCCUAACGCGUCGGCGUCCAGCGGAAACUGUCCGGCUUGGGACCGGAAGACCCGAGGGGUACGUCCGGGGUAGGAGUGAAAUCCUGUAAUCCUGGACGGACCACCGGUGGCGAAAGCGCCUCGGGAAGACGGAUCCGACAGUGAGGGACGAAAGCUGGGGUCUCGAA
RNAcentral lists this ribosomal RNA (250 nucleotides) under uncultured Halobacteria archaeon. Its description in RNAcentral is "partial 16S ribosomal RNA". It matches the Rfam family "Archaeal small subunit ribosomal RNA", at positions 474 to 723 of the family's 1478-position model. The record is from RNAcentral. Lineage: Archaea; Methanobacteriati; Methanobacteriota; Halobacteria.